UGCUAUCUAAUACACUGAAGGCACCAUAUCCCAUCUGAUCUUGGAAGCUAAACAAGAUUAGCCCUGGUUAGUACUUAGAUGACAGACCACCAAAGAAAACCAGGUGCUGUAGGGU
This 115-nucleotide ribosomal RNA is filed under the name Anolis carolinensis (green anole). The record is from RNAcentral. Lineage: Eukaryota; Metazoa; Chordata; Lepidosauria; Squamata; Anolidae.